AGUAAGUAUUAAUUCGAUUUUUGGAAUUCAAGUUGUUGUUGAUGUUGAUGAUCAUCAUCAUCUAUUCAAAAACCCUAACAAAUGAAUUACAAAUUGAUGUUGUGAUAGUGAUUCUUUAGGUUUUCUUAUUUAAUUUGCUAAACCCUAAAUCACACUGUGCGUUCUGUUGAUGAUCAUCAAUUCAAGUUGUUGUUGUUGUUGAUAUUAAUUUUACCAAUAUUAUUUGUAUGAUUUAUCAAUUACUACCGUAUAUCUUUAGUAGAAAUCGCUUUAGUAUUAUUGUCCUGAAUUUUGAUGAAUAUAUAAAGACUAUAGUAAUUGGGAUUCAGUUAUAGCAAAUCACCAUCACAAACAAACCCCUAACCAUUUAGAUAAACCUUACUUACAAACUUCUCUUACACUUUCUUUGUUUUGGUAUGAUCUCUAAUUCUACUACCCUUUAAAACAAGCAAUCCUUAAUCCUAGGUAUACAUAUAAAUAAAUAAAAGAUAUGUUGCUUCGUUUCCUCAGUUUUGUUUAUUUCCUGGUAAGUAAUAUAUUUUCAACGGAAUUAGUGUGUAAAAUAUGAUGGAUAAGGGCAUCCCUAAUGGACCAUCAAAUCUGGUAUCAAACUCAAAUUUGGUAAAAAAACAACAAAACUCAUCUCUAAUGGACCAUCAAAUUUGAGUUGGUAGCAAAUUUUUAUCAAAUUUUCACCAAAUUUGGUGAAAAUUUGGUGUUUUUGGAGAAAUUUGAUACCACACUUGAGCGGGCAAGAGCGAACCGCUCAAAUUAAGUGGCUCAUGAACACCCGCUUUGGGCGGUCCUUCAUUACCCGCUCAAGUCUAGGCGGUUCUUCAUUGCCCGCUCAAGUUCAACCGUUACAUUGAGCGGCCCCCCAUUGCCCGCUCAAAUUAUAACAUAUUAGUUUGAUUGCAAUUAGUGAACAAAGUAGUUGGGAUUCAUCAGAACAAGAGAACAAAACUUUUUGAUGAAGAUAAAGUUGGGAUUUUUAGCAAUAUCAAAAUUUAAUUACAAAGCAAUACCAAAGAAGUUGAAAAAAAUAAGAUUUUUUAGCAACAACUCAAAAUUUAACAAUUUCAAAGUGCAACAAUAAAGAAUUUUGCAUUUACAUUACUCAAACUUUGUCAAAUCUAUUCUCAAAUUUGUCGAAUUGGUUCUUAAUCCCAUCUUCUAAAACUAAGAAAAAUAAGAAAAAAAAAAAAAAAAGAACAAAGGAAUCAUAGGAGAUUACCUCAGAACAAUGGGUUGAUUCACCAGUUGAUUCUUCAUCACAAUCCAUUAGAAUAAACUAGGGCUUUGGAAGAAGAAGAAGAAGAGGAGAUCAGUGAACAGAGAAACGUGAUUUUUUUCACUAAGAAUAUGGGCGGCCCUUGUUUGCCCGCCCCAUAACAUGCAAGUGGGUGUUAAAAGCCUGCCCCAAAGGAGCGGGUGUUAAAAGCCCGCUUAACCAAAACGGUUCUCUGUUGCCCGCUCAAGUUUGGUAAACCAUUAGAGAAAACGAUUUUUGGUAGCAAAUAAAACACAAAAUGGGUAUCAAAUGUGCUUAGGUGGACCACCAAAACAAAAAAACCAUUAGGGAUGCCCUAAGCUUAAACAUCUGGGUCUAUUUGCUCAAAUUUUAGACAAAGUGCCAUUUGGGAUCAUUACUCAACGCCUAUGCUGUCAGAGGCGCCGCCUCAGCGCCGCUCAGCGCCGCCUAGGCGCUAAUUUCACACAGGUACGCCUCGCUCUACAGAAACUACCGCUUAAAACGCACUGGGCCGCUUGGGCGGCGCUCAGGCCCAGCGCUCAGAGAGAAGCGGCCCAAAAAAUGCGUUUUGGAGCGGCCCAACACUUAAAAGCCCAAAAAAAAAAACAACAAAAAGGGGAAAAUCAGACUUCUUCUUCGAUCUAGAUCUAGCGAUCUAGAUCUAGCGACUGGUGGUUUCUUCUUCUUCUUCUUCUUCUUCUUCUUCUUCAUCUCUCUCUGUUUGUUCUUCUGUCUACAGUGUAUUCAACAAAUACAUCAGUCUUACUUCGAAAAUACUAAACUACCCUUAGUCUCUUAAAAAGUUAAAGGCACUUAGGCACAUGACUCUCAAUUAUCUUCUCACUUUCUCAGUUGGGGGCGCCGUCUAAGCUCCGCCUAAGCGCUAGGGGCGCUAGUUAUUUUUCUUGGCGCCUAGCGCUUCGCCCCGCCUCUGACAGCAUAGCUCAACGCAAUGGGCACCACACAAGAAUGGGGUCCCUUUCCCUUCUUGGAGUACCCAUAUUAAUUAGUCAAGUUUUGGAGUAAAUUAAUUAGUCUUACUAUACUUUAUUGUAUUAGUCUUACUAUACUUUAUUGUGUGCCUGGAAGUCUUAAAGACCUUCUUAUGUAUUCUAUUUUUUUUUCUUGGUUUGGAUGUUAUAAAAAUAAAACUAAAGACUAUAUCUUUAUGUUAUUCAAUUCAAGUUGUUGUUGUUGAUGUUGAUGAUCAUCAUAAUCUAUUCAAAAACCCUAACAAAUGAAUUACAAAUUGAUGUUGUGAUAGUGAUUCUUUAAGUUUUCUUAUUUCACACUGUGUGUUCUGUUGAUCAUCAAUUCAAGUUGUUGUUGUUGUUGUUGUCUUUUUUUUUUUUUUUUUUUUUUGUAAUUAUAGUGAUAAAGAAACAAGAAGAGAAGAGAAUAGUAUCGUCUCUGCCAAACAUAGAUGAAUCUUCUGUAUAGAAUCUUCUCUGAUGGAUCUUGCAAUUUAUGUUUGUUUUCAAUUUCUAGG
This 2741-nucleotide long non-coding RNA is filed under the name Aquilegia coerulea. RNAcentral describes it as "long non-coding RNA (ACOE_LNC000575)". Lineage: Eukaryota; Viridiplantae; Streptophyta; Magnoliopsida; Ranunculales; Ranunculaceae. The record is from RNAcentral.